Long non-coding RNA from Mauremys reevesii (Reeves's turtle), 3623 nucleotides. RefSeq lists it as uncharacterized. The record is from RefSeq and is a predicted model, not a curated record. The transcript is spliced from 5 exons. NCBI's taxonomy places the organism in Eukaryota, Metazoa, Chordata, Testudines, Geoemydidae.
AGUAGCAGCCAAUUUUCUAACAACCUCCAGACCAUCCCUCCUCAGGAAAAAUCUGUGGUGAGGGGUUGGGGUGGAAUUCAAUGAAGUUCACUUUGCAGAAAUCCACUGGCUCUGAGUUUCAUGUAUGCACUAUCACUACUGUUAAGUAUUGCUGUACAUGGCAGAGUGAAGGAUGAGCUAGGUCUGGCUUGUUGAUUUAAGGACCUGAUGCUGCAAGGCCUCCUUCACCUAUUGAAGUCAAAGGGAGUUCUAUGCACGGGUGGCUUGCAGAAGCAUGACCCGAGUGAUGCAGACAAUGAAGUGGCUUGCAUUUGGCGUGGGACAAAGUCCAACAACAAACAGAAGAAUGCCUAUUCCCUGGAGUUGCCUCCUUAGGCUGUGACUUUAUGGCAGUGAUAAUGUGAUGAUGCUGAAGAAGACAGUGUCACUGGAAGGGCAGAUGCUCAAUGAGGUGGAAAGAUAAACUGAGGAGUCAGACAUCUGUGAUUUCAAAACCCAGUGAAGGUGACAGAAGCAGCCCAGUAUAUUUCACUGCGUUGCAAAUGUCUGACAUAUUUAUUAGUUGCAAAACUGCAGUUUUGAUCCUGUCCUCCUUACUCAGGCAAAACUGGCACUCACGUCUCAGCUCAAAAUACCAACUUUCCCCUAUUUAUUUUCCCAAGACUUGCAUCUUGUUUCAAUACAAAACUGAAAGUUGGCCCAGGUUCCUUCCCAUACUUGCUAUCUACCUAGGAAUUUACACUACGGUAGCUCAGCAGUUAGGCCUAGGAUCACACAUUAGUAUUUUCACUCAAAUAUUGGUCACUAGUCUUCAGAGAAGCCAGGGCAUGAACUGGAGCCUGAGUGGUGACAGAAGCUCUUCCCAUCGGUUCCCUAUAACAAAGGCCCUUCCAUCAGCCCCAGCAAGAGCCUAUACGGCCUUCCACUCUUGAUGUUACAUACUUGUGUCUUCAUUCUGCCCUCUAUGCCCUAUGUGUCGUCAUGCCUGGCUUGUGCCCUCCUGCUUCUUCCCUUCACCUUUUUAUCUUCUUCCAUUUUUCUUCCAGUUGCUUGCACCCUUCCCUUACCGCCUCCUCCUCCUUGCUCCCGUCCUGCCCAAACCUCUCUUUGUAUCAUGUGCACCUAUCCCCGUUUUCUAUCAUACAAAUGCAACUUAAAAUACCAUUAAACCUUUAAUGAAAAAUCCCCCACAGCCAGAAAACACAGCCUUCGGCAGAACCUCAAGCCAUCAAAUUAUCUUCUCUUUGUGUCUCUCAUCCCUUCCACGCUCUUCCACCCUCCCUGGGUUUUGCCUUCCUUUGUCCUGAUUUAUAUGGUAGAGACUGGAGCCAUCCAUUCCAGGGACUCUCCCCUGCUUCACCCCUUGUGUCGCCAUUUACACCUGUGUAAUGUGCAUGUAAAAUGCUAGCAAAUCCGAAUUCUCUAAUCUUCGACACUGGUGUCAUUAUUUACACUUGCUUUACUCAGGCAUGAAUGAUGACCCAAAGUGCAAGGCAGGGGAAAAUUAGGCCCUACUUGCCUUGGAAGCACCUAAUGUACUUUUGUGUGUGUAACAGGGUGGAGUGCCCUGUGGGCUGCAGAGUCUGGAGCUAUGCUAACCUGAUUGCACAAUGAGCGCCACCUGAGGGGAAUCAGGAACAUUCCCCAUAAAGAGCCAAAAGUGGCUCUAAUGAUUAGAAUGAGAGGCAGGUUUGACUGGUGAUAAAGCCCAGCUGGUGAAAGGGCUGGAGAGAGACCCUGGCAAAAGGAGGGAAAGCUCAGAGCGUAAGGAAAGCUCUUCAGGCAGGAAGGCCUGGGAGAGAACCUGAUUAAACAGGGAAGAGACAGACACCCAGAGGAGAAUUUAAGAGGCUGGGCAGGUAGUGGCCUAGGGAUAAUUGCGUCACAGGGAAAAGAGCAGACCUAGCUGUUGAGAGUACAGGGCCCUGGACCAAAAUCCAGCGUAGGGGUUAUUAACCCUAGCAAGGGAGCUUCAGGUUGAGCUGAAGACAGGCUGAAGAAGAGCCUCAGAGCAGAGGAAGGAUUUUUUAGUUUAUAUUUAAAUACAUUUUGGGGACUUUCAGGUUAGGCAAUUGACUCUGGAAGGGGUGGACUUAAGAUGGUGACCCGACCAAAGGACUGAGGCUCUCUAAGAACUGUAGGAGCAACCAUCAGUAGGGGGCACUAGCCUAGCGAGAGCUGCUACUCCAUGCCUGGCCGUGAGGAGGUGCUUAGUGGAAAAACUCUAUCUCUUCAUGAAGUAUAAAAACGCACUUUAAUGCAUGUCCCCUAGAAAGCCAUCAGACUUGAGUGUGGAAAAGCAGAACUUUGUAUUCACCACCCAUGUCGUUGCAGAGCACUCGAAAGAGACGACUAUUCACAACAUAUGCCUUAAUGAAGUUCACUGCUCACUACAUCAUUAAGAUACAUUGACAAUGUACUUUACAGCUAGGACUUGAUGAUGGAUUCCACAAUGAGUGACAAUCACAUUAGGUGACACGCACUUUACCUUCUUCUGAAAGCCAGACUGUGCACCCAUCAAAGCUGGAGCACCAUCAGUACAUAUACCACAAACAUUUUUCCAGUUAAUGCCAUUGCUUUUGAAAAAGGCAUUCAUCUUAUUGAAAAUAUCCUGUGCUGUUAUGGUUGUUUUUAAGUUGUUCACAGAAUAAGAAUUCAUCAUUAACAUCCCCUGCAUUAACAUACUGUAUGAACUAUCAAUUGUACGCAAUUAGUAACAUCAGUAGUUUCAUCAAGUUGCUGGCUGAACAUACUAAAAGCAGAAUGUUUAAUUUCAUGCACAGCUUGUUCUUUGAUAUCUUCAGACAUCUCACAUAUCCUGCAUUUCACAGUAUCAUUCAUAUAGAAAACAUAUUAAGCUUUUUGGCAGUAUCAUUGCCAAACAUAAGCGACACAAUAUCUUUGCAUGCUGGCAGAACAAGCUUCUCACCUAUCAUAUGUGGGUUCUUGGCAUGAAUGAUUCGUAGAGACACAACAUAAGAGGCUUCCACAGCUGAGGACAUUUGCUGUCAGAAACUUCCACCUGCAUGAAGCCUGGCUUUCUUGGCCACUUCUUCUCUACGUUUGAAAAAAAUCCACGUUUUGAUGUUUAUGCUCAGGAUGUCUAGUUUCAAGAUGUUGCUGCAGUUUGCAUGGUUUCAUUGAUUCAGCAGACAAAACUUCGCAGCAAAUGAUGCAUUGUGGAUUUUCAAUAACUGAGAGGCAUGGCCCUGGCUAUCUUGUAAUGUAAAACCGCGGACUUCCAUUCCUUCUGACAUCCAUCAUGGCGAGUGGGUCAUCUGGAUUGACCACAUCAUUUGGAUUGAUUCUCAUGGGUUCUCUAGGCAGACUUAGUCCUUGUCUACACUUACCGGGGGUUCGACGCAUGACUAUUGAUGCAUCGGUGGUCGAUUUAGCAGGUCAGAUCGCUCUCCCGUCGACUUCUGUACUCCACCUGAACGAGAAGUCGACGAGAGAGCAUCUCCAGUUGACAUCGCGUAGUGUGGAACCUGUGAUUACGCAACAAAUGAAUCAGAUAGCACAAUCCUGGACAACAAAAUAUAUAUUUUUUCAAGCUUUCCGGAAGAAAUACUGGGUCUUCAUUGUAAUUUAUCUGCCUACACAGGCUGUCUGUCACAUGUAAG